Molecule: long non-coding RNA, 1543 nt
Organism: Hyaena hyaena (striped hyena)
Lineage: Eukaryota; Metazoa; Chordata; Mammalia; Carnivora; Hyaenidae
Exons: 3
Source: RefSeq, a predicted model, not a curated record
UUCCUAUAACGAAUGCCACAUGCUAAGAGCAAGUUUUGUCAAGGAAGCACUGGCAUGGAGUGAAGUCAGCAGAAUUAGGAGUGGUGCCAACCAGCACUCCUCUGUAAGUGGUAACGACAGUCACGGAGAAGAUUCUGGUGUCCCAGAUCCCGUCGGGGGGGGCAGCUGGCAUCUGCCAGCGGCCAAUUUCUUGCCUCUGACUUCCCUCCGUCAGCAUCUGCCUACUGUGUGCGCGGAGCCCGGGAGCCGCGAAAAGACCAGGCAAGGUGCUGGGGAUGCGGAAGUGAAUACAUUGGGCUCCUGCCCUCAUGGGAUCACAAUCUAUCAUGGGCAGGAUAGACAAAUACGUAAAUAAAUCUAGAAAAGUCAACUGCGUGGUAACGGUAGUGUGGAAGGUGCCCAGCCCUGCUUGGAAAUGUCGAGAAAGCUCAACAGGAAGGAUGAGUAAAGGAUGCCAAAAGAGUGGAAGACUGUUCCGGAGGGAAGCCUAGAUCUUGCAAAAGAACUUUGCCGGAGAACAAUAAGGCGGAAAGGGAUGUCAGGGAGGGGAAGGCAGAGAAGGCAGGGGGCCUCUCUGGGUCUCAGUAUCCAGCUGAGAGUCCAGUGUAUCACGUGAGAGGAACUUUUCGUUCUUCUGAAUUUUGAAAAACAUGCGGGCCUUUAUCAAGCUGGUGCUUGUUACCAAGGGAUGCAUGGAAAGAUACUUCUUGUUGCUAUUUCUCACUUAGACCCUUGAUAGAGCCUGGAGACUUUAUGGAGCUGCUGUGAUUCUCACUUUCUGUGGGGUCAAGGGCUCCUUGGAGAAUGGAAAGAAAGUGAUAAAUCAUCUGCCCAGAAAAUGCACAUUGUUUCGCGUGGAUUUUCAGGGGCUUCCAGAAUCAUCCCCCCCUCCCAACCCACUCAUACGUUCUAGGCAAAGAUCUUCCCUCCUCGCCUCGAGGAGAGGAUCAGGGGACUGGCGUGACCCAUUGUAGACACUGGGUUAUGUGGUGAUCUGGCUUGAUGCUGGCACUCGCCUUGGACCUUCUUCAGAAGGCAACAUCCCAAGGUAGAUCCUCGCUGGCUGCUGCUGGCGUAGGGAGGGCAUGCAGUGUAGACAAGUGCACUCUGCCCAGUGGUCUGGGACCUGGCAAAAGCAGGGAGGCCCUGCUCACAAGCUGUGACCUGUGGAGGCCAGUGAUAGGCAAAUGUGUUUUGUCAGGUUCUUCAGCACUUACACUGAAGUGCGUCCUGGUUUGAGUACUUGCUUUUGACUUAAGUUGGUGAAUCGGGUCCAAGGAAUGGCGGUGAUGCCGAGGCCAUUCUCAGAUGGGAUGGAGCGAAGGCAGAUGUGCAAGGAGGCCAUGGGAGCUGUGCAUAGCUCAUGUGCAGACAGAACUUUGACAGGAAACAGAGUCCUUUGUCAGAGGUCCCCAGCAGCCGCAUACUAGGCUGAAGCAAGAGGAGUUUUCCUUGGGUAUAUGAUGUCAGGGGGGAGAGUGCCCAAAACCCAGUAAUUAAGAUAACUAAUAUUUUAAUGCACUUUUAAAAAGUCAAAAUUAAU